UUUCAUUAAUAAUUAUAAAAUAAAUAUUUCUCUAAAUCAUAGUGUGUACAUAUUGGGAUUUGACUCCUAAUUUAAAAAGUACUCGACAAGAAAUUGCAACAUAUUAUAGUCGCAAACUUCCUGAGUUACUCCAUUAUAAUGACAGCCAAAUUGGGAUUCUUCUAUACCGUACCAAAAGUGUUUGGAAUUGUGAAAAAAAUAUUUUCCCUCAGGAUUGAAUCCAAAAUAAUCUUCAUGCCAGAAAUUGGGAAGGUACCAUACCACCAAAUCUUCCACUGUGUUGUGUACAUAGGAGAAGUACCCACCUCCAAUUAAGUAAUAAGGUCCCAUUGACAGAGAGAAAUUUUUAAUAAAAAUCAUCUUUUCUUGCAUAAAUUCUCUCAAGAAAGGAUAAUUCUUCUUGAAGUCGAUGUUUUUCCAGAAGAAACCUCCAAAUUCUGGACAAACUUGCCAGAAACCUGCUUCAAUAGCCAUCCUGGAGAUAGAACAGUAUAGGGAUUGAACUAAAGAAUAGGCUUGACCAAGACACUGUAAGAAUUGAUAGAUGUCUCCCUCACAAUAUCGAAACAAAAGCUCAAUGGAUAUGAUUAAAUACUUCCCUUUCACAAAACCUAUUUUAUUUUUAUAAAAAAAAUUCAGAAUUUCUGGGAAAGAAAUUUUGCAGUCAUCUAGAAUUCCUUCUGGCAUCUCCCAUAACUUUUGAAAGACAGGACCAACAGAGAAGCUUUCUUUAGUAGUCUCAAUCUCCCUGACAAGUUUCCAUGAUUUUUCUUCGAGUUUUUUAUUCUUUAUCAUCAAGGCCUCUAAAGAAUCAAAUUUUCUCGAUAAUCUAUUAAAAUACUGGUUCAAGUAAUCAUCAAACACUACUACCCAAUGACGAGGCAGCUCAAUAUAAGCACAAAAACAGGGACAAUGCUCAAGAAGUUGAAGGAAUUCUUCACUCUCUUUUUUGCUUAGUUCAUGAGAUGGGUAGCCAUGGAAAGAGUAGCAAGUGGGGCAAUACAGGCCAUCUGGUACCUGCACAAAUUUUCCAGAAAAAGUUGGAGACAAUAGCUUUUCAUUAGAGGGAGAUGUUUCCAAGAACAUAGAGGGAACAUGAAGGUCCUUCUGAGGUUGCUUUUCUUUGCUUCCCAUCAAGCCAUGGGGCAAUAUCAUCUCCAUCUUCGAAUAUUUGAAUGGUUUUCUCAGAAAAUUUUCCUUUUUUUUGUACGUUUUCCUCAAAAGUCCAGCCUCGGUUGAAACACCCUUCAAUCUUCUUUUUCAUAGUAGAAUUCAUCAAGUUUUGCUUUAUAGGCAGAGCAAUGAAAGAUGAUAAUCAAUUUUAAACAAGGGAAAGAGCAUUUAAAUAGGUUGCUAAAAGAAAUGAUUUUUUGAAAUAUAAAUCUCUUAUAUUACAAGACACAUCGAUCGAUCUAUCUAUUGAUCGAACCAAAUGAGAAUAAAU
Molecule: unclassified non-coding RNA, 1444 nt
Filed under: Hevea brasiliensis (rubber tree)
Lineage: Eukaryota; Viridiplantae; Streptophyta; Magnoliopsida; Malpighiales; Euphorbiaceae
Source: RNAcentral